UCAUUUUGGGGCGGCGAGUUGAACAAAGCAAAUUUGACUUCUUGCCCAAAUUUUAAAGCAAAAUUAAACAAGAAAUGUCGAAGUCUGAACCUCGAGAAAAACUCAAAGACUGAACUAAGGUAUGUACUUUCUAUUUUACGUAAAAUGUACAUGUUUCGGCGAACGAAACUGCUUUAAAUUCUUGUCAAAGUUGAGGGCCGAAAUUCCCUUCGGUCGCCCAUUCGAUAUUCGUCUUGUCCUUGCGUAAAAACAUUGAAUUUUAGACUUGCUUUUCGCUAUAUUUACUUUAAAUUACUAGAUAAAUUGUUAGAUAGAAUACUCAGGAUGUUUUAGAGCUAAAUUUAUGUUAACUUUUGUCAUUAUAGUGAAAAGAAAUAUUCAGUUCUCAACCUCGUGGGUCAAUGUCAUGGAAGCGAAGUUGAUUCAGUAAAAUCGCUUUCUUGCUCGAAAUUUUAAAGCAAAAUUAAACAAGAAGUGUUGAAGUCUCAACCUCGAGAGAAUCUCAAAGACUAAAUUAAGGUAUGUACUUUCUAUUUUACGUAAAAUGUACAUGUUUCGGCGAACAAAACUGCUUUAAAUUCUUGUCAAAGUUGACUCGAAAGUUGAGGGCCGAAAUAUUUCCCUUCGGUCGCCCAUUCGAUAUUCGUCUUGUCCUUGCGUAAAAACAUUGAAUUUUAGACUUGCUUUUCGCUAUAUUUGCUUUAAAUUACUAGAUAAAUGGUUAGAUAGAAUACUCAGAAUAUUUUAGAGCUAAAUUUAUUUUACAUUUUGUCAUUUUAGUGAAAUGAAAUAUUCCGUUCUCAACCUCGUGGGUCAAGUCAUGGAAGCGAAGUUGAUUCAGUAAAAUCGCUUUCUUGCUCGAAAUUUUAAAGCAAAAUUAAACAAGAAGUGUUGAAGUCUCAACCUCGAGAGAAUCUCAAAGACUAAAUUAAGGUAUGUACUUUCUAUUUUACGUAAAAUGUACAUGUUUCGGCGAACAAAACUGCUUUAAAUUCUUGUCAAAGUUGACUCGAAAGUUGAGGGCCGAAAUAUUUCCCUUCGGUCGCCCAUUCGAUAUUCGUCUUGUCCUUGCGUAAAAACAUUGAAUUUUAGACUUGCUUUUCGCUAUAUUUGCUUUAAAUUACUAGAUAAAUGGUUAGAUAGAAUACUCAGAAUAUUUUAGAGCUAAAUUUAUUUUACAUUUUGUCAUUUUAGUGAAAUGAAAUAUUCCGUUCUCAACCUCGUGGGUCAAGUCAUGGAAGCAAAGUCGAUUCAGUAAAAUCGCUUUCUUGCUCGAAAUUUUAAAGCAAAAUUAAACAAGAAAUGUUGAAGUCUCUACCUCAAUUCAAACUGAGAAGGUAUGUAUAUAUUCUUCUGUUAUAUUUAUGUAAAAUG
Molecule: long non-coding RNA, 1374 nt
Filed under: Paramuricea clavata
Lineage: Eukaryota; Metazoa; Cnidaria; Anthozoa; Malacalcyonacea; Plexauridae
Source: RNAcentral